RNAcentral lists this ribosomal RNA (876 nucleotides) under Triticum aestivum (bread wheat). RNAcentral describes it as "partial small subunit ribosomal RNA". Lineage: Eukaryota; Viridiplantae; Streptophyta; Magnoliopsida; Poales; Poaceae. The record is from RNAcentral.
AUGAAAAUUCAUACUGCAUGUCCUGUGUGUCAGGUGUAUACUGAAGACAUUCGGCAUGCUUUAUUUGAAUGUGCCCGAGCGCAGAUGGUUUGGGAAAAUCUGGGUUUAUUAGAAAAAGUUGAAAGAACUCUGAAUGUUGAUAGGGCCGGUUCAGCUGUACUGGAGGAGCUGAUUUGUACUUCGAUUGAUGACCCACUAUAUCUUGCUCAAACCCCUGUAUCAUGUUUGAUUGCGCUGUCCAGUUGGUUCCUAUGGUGGGAAAGGAGACAGUGUGCAAAAGGAGAAAAGAUACCUGAACCUGAACGUUCUGCCUUAUCAAUACAAGCUCUUGCUCUUAACUUUUGUCGGGCGGGCACUGUUCAACUUCCGGCAAGAGAGAUAAUGUGGGCUAAACCACAGCAGGGUACAGUCAAGCUGAAUAUAGAUGCAUCAUUUGAGUAUGAAGGGAGUACUGCUUCCAUUGGCACGAUCUUGAGAGAUGAUGCUGGCGAUUUUAUUGCAGCUGAGGUCUCCUAUAUGGGUAAAACAAUUGAUGCAUAUACAGCCGAAGCUAUGGCUAUGAAGAAGGGUCUGCAACUUGCAGAUUCUCUGGGUAUUCAUAAACUGCUAGUUCACACAGAUUGUGCAGAAUUGGUCAAGGAGAUUAAUCAAGGAGCAGUUAAUUCAGUAGCAGCCCCUAUUCUUAAUGAUUGCUUUGAGAUUUGUAAUAAUUUUGGCCAUGUUAGUUUUGAGCAUUGUGCGCGUGAUUCGAAUCGCGUGGCUCAUGAGCUGGCUAGAAGGGCUAGGGUUGAUCCUCCGGGUGUGUGGACGGACAAUCCUCCCUCUUUUAUCCGUAGCCUUAUUUUGGAUGAUUUGUCGUUAUUUGAGAUGAAAUAA